CUUACCUAGAAAUUGCAUGGGGUGAGAAUGAUUUAUUAUGCCUGUAAUGGAAGGGAAUCCAGGGAAGGGAGAGAAAACAAUAUGCACAAGUUUAAUCGUCACAUUGAGAACUGACAGUGAGCACAGUGAAACAUUGCUGGGCGCUAUGGAG
Sander lucioperca (pikeperch) is the source of this 151-nucleotide long non-coding RNA. RefSeq lists it as uncharacterized. The record is from RefSeq and is a predicted model, not a curated record. Lineage: Eukaryota; Metazoa; Chordata; Actinopteri; Perciformes; Percidae. The transcript has 3 exons.